RNAcentral lists this ribosomal RNA (460 nucleotides) under uncultured bacterium. Its description in RNAcentral is "partial 16S ribosomal RNA". It matches the Rfam family "Bacterial small subunit ribosomal RNA", at positions 338 to 795 of the family's 1533-position model. The record is from RNAcentral.
CCUACGUGGGGCAGCAGUGAGGAAUAUUGGUCAAUGGCCGAAAGGCUGAACCAGCGAAGCCGCGUGAAGGAAGAAGGACUUCUGGUCUGUAACCUUCUUUUAUAGGGGAAUAAGGGUACUCUCGUAUGCAUCUGUGCAUUUACCCUAUGAAUAAACAUCGGCUAACUCCGUUCCAUCAGCCGAGGUACUACGGUGGAUGCGAUGGUUACCCGGAUUUAUUGGGUUUAAAGGGAGCCUAGGUUGUUUUUUAAGUCAGCUGUGAAAUGUUUGGGCUCAACCAUAACAUUGCCGUUGAAACUGGAAGACUUGAGUGUGUGUGAGGUAGGCGGAAUGCGUGGUGUAGCGGUGAAAUGCAUAGAUAUCACGCAGAACUCCGAUUGCGAAGGCAGCUUGCUAAGCCAUAACUGACACUGAGGCACGAAAGCGUGGGGAUCAAACAGGAUUAGAUACCCGAGUAGUC